GCCCACCUGUGCCCGCCCAGGCUCCCUGCAGCCUCUCCCCAGGGAGGUCCCGGCUGCACAGGGGCUGCGACGUGUCCCCUCACCCGGUGCUGCCUCAGCAAGGGUCUCCAUCCCCCCGCCUCCCAGGGGUGCAUGCGGCCUGGGUCUUGCCUGGGACUGGCAGGGCUGCAUUCAGCCCGGGCACCACAAACACUCUCUCUGCUACAGUCGGUGCAGUGCUGUGGGCCUCAUUUGUCAUCUGUCACCACAGCUUCUUGUUCCCGGAGCAAGUUCUCAGCUGAACGGGGAGCUCCCUGGGGAGGGACCCCAGCAUGGGGCACACAGAGGAGCCAGAGAAUGGUGCCUGAGCUGAAGAGGUGUUCGCUGGGCAGAGGGCGGCCUCUGAGAUGCCCCACGGCUCGCACCUCCUGGGCUCACAGGGAGCAGGGCUGGGCAGCCAAGGGAAGCCUGCCACUCGUGAGCUUCCUUGGGGGGCGAGGAGGAGCCAUCGGGUGGGGGGGGCAGCGUAUGCAGGGAUCCUGACAGCGCAUGACAGGACUGUCAACAUCCUGUGGGUAAAACGAGCCUGCCCGUGCCCGAGAAGAGGACAGGAAACCAAGAGGGCAGGGCCAGAACUAAACUGACCAAGGUCCUGGUGUAGCAGGGGGAGGCAAAGACCUGGCAGACCUCAGGCUUUGCAAGACAAGGGUGCUUCGCGUGGCAGUGGGGUGCCCCCUGCAGAGCAGAAACAGGAGUCCUGGGGUCACAGCUAGGAGACAAAGGGCACAGGACCCGGUGACAGAAGAUCGACCGUCAGUGAAAAACAAGAGCAAAAACACAUCUCUCCAGGUCAAGCUGGAGGCGGGACUAAGAAAACCACUCUGGUCUGUUCACCAAAGACCUACCAAACACGGUCACCAAAAGAUUUAACACAAAAGGAUGUAAAAGUAUACUCCUGCUGACAUCCCCUUCUGGUCAGAAGGCUGAGGAUGGUGGAGCCCUCAGCUCCUGAUGAGAAGACAACUCGUCACCACUCAAGCUGGGGAUGCCGGGAGAACUGAAGUCUGCAGAGAGACGAGCCUGUCGAGGACACCCAGGGUGGGUGCCGGGCUGGCCCAGGGGGUCUGCCCGCAGGGACGGGGGCUUGGAGGGCUUGGUCAACCACCCAAACUAUCAAGCAUCUAACAUACAAGGAGCCGGAGGCCCCGAGGACAGGAGAGGGGAGACUACAGAAAAGUCUAACAACCCACUAA
Long non-coding RNA from Bos taurus (domestic cattle), 1232 nucleotides. The record is from Ensembl. Lineage: Eukaryota; Metazoa; Chordata; Mammalia; Artiodactyla; Bovidae.